CCAGCGGCCAUUUUGAGGAGGAGGGAGUGCGGUCAAAGCAAUGGAGUGAAAGUGGUAUUAUGUUUUUAUAUCUUUACAUAUUAAUACACAAUGUUUUGUAUAUGUUUGUUUUUUUAUUAUUGUUCAGCGAGAAAGAAAACAACCCUUCCUAGCUAAGCCUGAGGUUACGAUGAAGAAAGACUAGCACAUCCUCGGGGAUGUUGCCGAGUGGUGUGAGGAGCACUCUGAGGAACCUGAACCCGACCAACACACCCUCUGUGGAGGUGGUCACCCAUAUCUCUCGCAGAGGUCACUGAGGUAGUGAAGAAGCUCCUUGGUGCUCACAAAAGGCUGCUUUCUUAUAACUUUAUUUAAGUUACAUAUUCUUUUACACAUUAAAUAAUUAUCAACCGACUGUAGUCGACAUUACUGAGAGCUGCUUCCUCUCUCUUUCUCUGUGCUCAGAGAAAUCAGUUCUUUAC
This is a long non-coding RNA of Dicentrarchus labrax (European seabass), 461 nucleotides long. RefSeq lists it as uncharacterized. The transcript has 2 exons. The record is from RefSeq and is a predicted model, not a curated record. NCBI's taxonomy places the organism in Eukaryota, Metazoa, Chordata, Actinopteri, Moronidae.